This 184-nucleotide ribosomal RNA is filed under the name Fidelibacterota bacterium. RNAcentral's name for it is "partial 16S ribosomal RNA". It matches the Rfam family "Bacterial small subunit ribosomal RNA", at positions 1 to 183 of the family's 1533-position model. The record is from RNAcentral. Lineage: Bacteria; Pseudomonadati; Fidelibacterota.
ACAAUGGAGAGUUUGAUCCUGGCUCAGGACGAACGCUGGCGGCGUGCUUAACACAUGCAAGUCAAGGAGACCAUUUUCUUCGGAAAAUCAGUAAACUGGCGAACGGGUGAGUAACGCGUAGACAACCUGCCCUAGAGAUUGGGAUAACCCCGGGAAACCGGAGCUAAUACCGAAUAAUGCAGCG